RNAcentral lists this small RNA (29 nucleotides) under Bombyx mori (domestic silkworm). RNAcentral describes it as "ovarian small RNA-23906". The record is from RNAcentral. Lineage: Eukaryota; Metazoa; Arthropoda; Insecta; Lepidoptera; Bombycidae.
UAUGAUAUUUUGCUAUAUCUGCCAAGUGU